Molecule: small nuclear RNA, 173 nt
Filed under: Xenopus laevis (African clawed frog)
Lineage: Eukaryota; Metazoa; Chordata; Amphibia; Anura; Pipidae
Description: U2 spliceosomal RNA
Rfam family: U2 spliceosomal RNA
About the family: U2 is a small nuclear RNA (snRNA) component of the spliceosome (involved in pre-mRNA splicing). Complementary binding between U2 snRNA (in an area lying towards the 5' end but 3' to hairpin I) and the branchpoint sequence (BPS) of the intron results the bulging out of an unpaired adenosine, on the BPS, which initiates a nucleophilic attack at the intronic 5' splice site, thus starting the first of two transesterification reactions that mediate splicing.
Source: Rfam by way of RNAcentral
AUAUUUUUCAAUAAAAAAAAUCUGUUCUUAUCAGUUUAAUAUUUGAUAUGUCCCCUAUCUGGGGACCAUAUAUUAAAUGGAUUUUUGGAACAGGGAGAUGGAAGAAGAGCUUGCUCUGUCCACUCCACGCAUCGACCUGGUAUUGCAGUACCUCCAGGACCGGUGCACUUCUU